AUUGAACGCUGGCGGCAUGCCUUACACAUGCAAGUCGAACGGCAGCACGGGUGCUUGCACCCGGUGGCGAGUGGCGAACGGGUGAGUAAUACAUCGGAACGUACCUUAUCGUGGGGGAUAACGCAGCGAAAGCUGUGCUAAUACCGCAUACGCCCGGAGGGGGAAAGCGGGGGAUCGCAAGACCUCGCGCGAUUAGAGCGGCCGAUGCCUGAUUAGCUAGUUGGUGGGGUAAAAGCCCACCAAGGCGACGAUCAGUAGCUGGUCUGAGAGGACGAUCAGCCACACUGGGACUGAGACACGGCCCAGACUCCUACGGGAGGCAGCAGUGGGGAAUUUUGGACAAUGGGGGCAACCCUGAUCCAGCAAUGCCGCGUGAGUGAAGAAGGCCUUCGGGUUGUAAAGCUCUUUUGUCAGGGAAGAAACACCGGCUCUAACACAGUCCGGGAAUGACGGUACCUGAAGAAUAAGCACCGGCUAACUACGUGCCAGCAGCCGCCGUAA
This 501-nucleotide ribosomal RNA is filed under the name uncultured bacterium. Its description in RNAcentral is "partial 16S ribosomal RNA". It matches the Rfam family "Bacterial small subunit ribosomal RNA", at positions 29 to 523 of the family's 1533-position model. The record is from RNAcentral.